UGAAACCACUGUUACGAAACAGAUUAUUUCCCAGCAGCCGUCAUUCGCACUCCAGCCCAGGCUGGGAUGCUGCUUGUUACGAGAGCCAUUACCGAGAAUGGAACAGGACCAGAAUAGAAAAGUCAGCAAAGUUGUUAUUUUCCUAAUUAAAAAAACACAUCCCAGUCCACUAAUGGUGCCAGGACACUCGCGUUCCUUCCGCUGGACAGGAGCCUGGGCAGCGCCUUCGUGCAGCGCUCGACCUCCAGCCCCCCCAGGGGGGUGAGCAUGCAUGUCCCCACAUAUGUGAAUACCCCUGCACAUCCCGGGGAGGCUGUGCACCCAAGGGUGGCUCCUUAUUCAGCUGUUUUCCCUUUGGGGAAGGUGUUGUAAGCUCAAGCUGAUUUUGUCGCAUGCGUUGGCUUUUGAAGCCACCGGGGAGAAGCGUGGGCAGAACGGGAGCAGGAGGGUGCUCCAAAAAUGUUUGGGGAAAAUGUUUGGUGUCCAAAAAUGUUUGGGAAACAUGUGCUGCAUGUGUGCAACUGAUGUCUACUUGUGCUGUGCUGAUGCACGCAGUUAUUUCCUUCAGUUACAUCUGUAGGUACGUGAGUCGAGAGAGCAGCGGUGAGAUUAGAUUUUUAUGAGGUUCUUGCUCUGUUUUGCAUGGCUCCUCUCCUGCAUGCUCCCAUCCUGCACAGGCUGUUGGGUGGUGCAGGCAGCACUGGGCAGCAUGUUUGCAGGCACACCAUGCUCAUUGUGCUGCACAGGGGGUGGUUUGCAUGCAGACCUGCAACCGAACUGCAGCAUAGCCUCCAGCCCAGACCUCGAAGGUCCUGACUGCUCGCCUAUCUGCCAAUUCUACAGGCCCCCAUCGACUACCAGCAGGUAGCACGGACCCAUUGGGGCAACCAAAAGGAGGAAGAGGAGGAGAUAAGUGCUGGGGAGGGAUGGGGUGAGCACCAAGGGGUGAUCUGUAAGGCUUUGGGGCUGGGGGAGUGCCUGGGAUGAGCCCUUGUGUCCCUGCGCCCAGCUGCUGCCAUGGGGCUCGUGUCAUGAGCGGUCAUUUUUGGGAAGGGAGGAGUUUGUAUCAGUGUGGCUGAAAAGCUGCCUUCUCACCACCUUUGUUGUUGUUGCUGUUGUUCACCUUGCCUAGUCUUCCAAAAAAAGGAUUGGAGGGAAUUGUUUAAAAAAAAAAAAAGAAAGAAAAAAAACCUCUCACUGUUUUUCCUGGCCAAAAAAUACUCUGAACAAACAAAUCUGCAAUGUAAACCUCCCCCUCCCCUCUGAAACUUUUAUGUACUUAAACGUCACUGUUCCAGCAAAUCCUAAUACCCAUGGUUUCUUUGACACCAAGUGACUCUGCUCAUGCUUGUUUUUCCUGGGAUGCCUUCAAGGUACGAGUCAUUAAACAAGCACUGCUUGAAGAUGCUGGCGUGCUGGCCACGUCUCGUUACGGAUGAGUAACAGGGAAGUUAAGUGAUUAGCAGCAAUUCCCACAUUAAUGAUGAAAAUGAUGGGGAAGGAGCAACGUUUUGGAGCACGGCAUGCCAGCUCAGUGACCUGGGGAGCAUUGGAUCCUCCUGAUGACAGAGCCUGCUUGGGGCAGGCGAUCAAAUCCCAGCCAUCAAGCAAGGCGCUCGCCCUCCCGCUGCCCUUUUUCCCUCUGCUGCUCCCAGGGGGUGCUGCUUGCUCCUGUGCUCUGCUCUGGAGCCUCGUUUCUCCCCCCCAGCACCUGCUUCUCACAAACUCCAUUGCUUUGAUGCAGUUGUUUUAAUCCCGUGGGUCUCACUGAUGAUUUACGUCUAGGCUGAGACCCAGAGGGAACGAGUUUGCCCUGAGGAAAAUUUGCCUUGGAAUGCACGUGGGGCAUUGGGACCAGAGGAGCAGCAGAGCCCCAGAGCUGAAGUCCUGGGGUGCAAUCCAGCUUCUCACAGGCUUAGUGAGCUUUGACAAGUCAACACAGCUCUUGCCAGCUCUCCUGCACAAAGGAGAACAUUAUUUUUUUUCUCUUUCCCCUUACACUUUCAAGAGUUUCUUUGGUUUGAUUUCUAGCAGGAAACAUCUGACAGGGAAACUGCUACGACUCCAGGCAAACCUCUUGUGCCCAUACACCAGCAGAGGAGGCUGUCCCAGCAGAGGAGCAGCCCAGGAGUUAUGGUAUGAUGACCAGGUGACGUACCUUGAGCCGCAGCUGUGUUUUGGCCACACCUGUAGGUGUUGAAGAUGCUGAUGUACCUGCCUAAAGCAUGAAGCUCUUCUGGAUUUCAUUUCCAUUGCAGGUAUCUUUCAAAUCGAGGGGAUGCUCGAAAGGACGACGUGGCAGCAGCGCAGUCACCACAAGACUCUCCGAAGAGAGAGCAAGAGCGAGGUGACAGCCAUCGCCUCCCUCCUGGGGCUGGGUCGUGGUGGGUUUUCCAUCUCUCUUCCUUACCAAUCCCAGAGCUGGAGUGACUACCCACUACAAAAUGCUUUCCACCACCAGGCAGCUCCCUCAGACCUCGUGUUUGGUGUUAUUAAUGAAAACCAUUGGCAGGGCAGCGUGUCGGCAGGCUCCAGGACGUGGUGUCCCCGAGGACUUGCCCUGGAGCAGUAAGAUCCCGUGCUCUCGGUGUCUCCUCCUGUAACCCUACCUCUGGCGGGCCAUGUAAACCCCUCUUGGAUCGCUGAUUGGACAUAAAUCUCCCCAAAACCGCGAUGCUUACCAAAGAUUAUCACAUGAUUGAGACAUAAAUCCCACGUCAGCUCAGCGAAAUAUCUGCGGCGAUGGAGUUAAACGAGUCAAGACAGCUCCUUAACCAUUCCCAAACAUUAAAACGCAGACGAGGAGCACACGAGGAGCAGCACAGCCGAGAUGCUUUCGGAGCAGCCAUUUAUCACUUUUGUACAACCAGACAUAAACAGGGCUAUGGCUUCUGGCUCUGCCUUGAGCUUCCAGGCAAGGUGAUACAGAGGCUGGAGGGGCUGCGUGGUUGCAGGCUGGGGAUUUGGGGUGGCAUCAUUGCUGCUGCAGAAAGGAGAGGGCUGCUGCUGGAUGGUGCCAUGGCUUCUGCUGCUUCCACUGCCCAGAGGUAAUCUUCCCAGGGUAGGGAUGGAGAUGUGGGGAACUGUGAGAGCUGGGCAGCUCCGAAAACCCACAAUGAGAUAUGAAAUCAAAUACUGUGUGUCAUUAUGGCUAAGUAACAAGAAAAGUUUGUUUGUUUUCCUGAGUAAGA
Cygnus olor (mute swan) is the source of this 3191-nucleotide long non-coding RNA. RefSeq lists it as uncharacterized. The transcript has 2 exons. NCBI's taxonomy places the organism in Eukaryota, Metazoa, Chordata, Aves, Anseriformes, Anatidae. The record is from RefSeq and is a predicted model, not a curated record.